AUUGAACGCUGGCGGCAGGCUUAACACAUGCAAGUCGAGCGGGGAAAAGUAGCUUGCUACUUGACCUAGCGGCGGACGGGUGAGUAAUGCUUAGGAAUCUGCCUAUUAGUGGGGGACAACAUCUCGAAAGGGAUGCUAAUACCGCAUACGUCCUACGGGAGAAAGCAGGGGACCUUCGGGCCUUGCGCUAAUAGAUGAGCCUAAGUCGGAUUAGCUAGUUGGUGGGGUAAAGGCCUACCAAGGCGACGAUCUGUAGCGGGUCUGAGAGGAUGAUACGCCACACUGGGACUGAGACACGGACCAGACUCCUACGGGAGGCAGCAGUGGGGAAUAUUGGACAAUGGGGGGAACCCUGAUCCAGCCAUGCCGCGUGUGUGAAGAAGGCCUUUUGGUUGUAAAGCACUUUAAGCGAGGAGGAGGCUACCGAGAUUAAUACUCUUGGAUAGUGGACGUUACUCGCAGAAUAAGCACCGGCUAACUCUGUGCCAGCCGCCGCCGUAA
Molecule: ribosomal RNA, 501 nt
Filed under: uncultured bacterium
Lineage: Bacteria
Description: partial 16S ribosomal RNA
Rfam family: Bacterial small subunit ribosomal RNA
Source: RNAcentral